Molecule: long non-coding RNA, 603 nt
Filed under: Helianthus annuus (common sunflower)
Lineage: Eukaryota; Viridiplantae; Streptophyta; Magnoliopsida; Asterales; Asteraceae
Description: hypothetical non coding rna
Source: RNAcentral
AUGUUCUUUGUGUUUGCCGCCCUUCCUUUUUGUUUGGGGCUGCAGUCUUUAUGUUGGGUGUUUGUUGAAAGUCACAUUUAUUAAAAUAAAAAAAGAAGCGUAGUUGCAUGUUUACCUAGUAUUCUUAUGUAAAUUUUUUUAUUUUAAGUUAAUGAAUGAUAAGAAUACUGUUUUAAAUUGAAUACGGAUCCAUGCACACCCUAACUUUCAAACCAUUUUGACUUUCAUUUUUAAUAAAAAUCUUUAAAUAAUGCAUGUUUGACCCGAAACAUACAAGUCAAAUCAACCAAAUUCAAGUUAAUAGGUCAGCAAAGUCACCUCCUUCACAUAUUAGUGAGAUGAAAUGAGCCACCUUUUUAAGACUCAAGGAUUUUAAAAAUAUAAGUAGCAAGUAAACUUCAAGCACCAAAAUUCAGAAUUUAGUUCUGGAUCCAUCUCAUCACAUACAAGCCAAUUUCCAGACCAUAAUUGUGAAUUUGCAAGUUAUGAGAUCACAUGAACUGAUAUGAUGUCUAGCCAGCUAGUGGAUUAGAAUGGAUUGUUAUACGGUUAAUCCUAAUCUCCGCCAGUGGCCGGUCCCCAGCUCCUGCUGUUGGAGUCUGC